UCGCUUCAGCAGCACAUAUACUAAAAUCGGAACGAUACAGAGAAGAUUAGCAUGGCCCCUGUGCAAGGAUGACAUGCAAAAAAUUAAAAAAAAAAAAAUAAAU
Small nuclear RNA from Sorex fumeus (smoky shrew), 103 nucleotides. Lineage: Eukaryota; Metazoa; Chordata; Mammalia; Eulipotyphla; Soricidae. The record is from RefSeq and is a predicted model, not a curated record.